CUAUCCUCAAUUGAUCAAGAGAUUCCUUGAAGAAGAGCCUCAAAAUUUAGAGUGAGAAAGUGUAGACUUUGGUAAGAACUUGGGCCCGAGCGAGACGAAGAAGUAAGUUGCCUGAUUUCUUUCCAGAAUAAGCGAAGGACUUCAGGCUAAGCUGGGAGUGAGAUUGGACUGGUGCUGAUGGGGGAGAGUUUCAAAUGAUGUAAAUUAAAUUACUAUUUUGCCUCUAUGAUAAUAGAGUCUUGAUGUUUGAAUUACUUAGUUUCUUUUGGGAUCAAGCAAUACACUCACGGUUAUGUGUCUUCAUACAUAUAAUCGGUUCGCCUUUUGCUGCGAUACUCUGCAAAUUAUGCUUCCUUAUGAAAAAUGAACUAUACCCGUUUUGUUUUU
Molecule: long non-coding RNA, 387 nt
Organism: Salvia miltiorrhiza (redroot sage)
Lineage: Eukaryota; Viridiplantae; Streptophyta; Magnoliopsida; Lamiales; Lamiaceae
Exons: 3
Source: RefSeq, a predicted model, not a curated record